GCUCAGUGGCAGAGCACAUAACUCACAAGCAUGAGGUCCCAGGUUCAAGCCCUGG
RNAcentral lists this transfer RNA (55 nucleotides) under Erinaceus europaeus (western European hedgehog). It matches the Rfam family "tRNA", at positions 10 to 63 of the family's 71-position model. From Rfam's summary of the family: Transfer RNA (tRNA) molecules are approximately 80 nucleotides in length. Lineage: Eukaryota; Metazoa; Chordata; Mammalia; Eulipotyphla; Erinaceidae. The record is from Rfam by way of RNAcentral.